Molecule: ribosomal RNA, 571 nt
Filed under: uncultured bacterium
Lineage: Bacteria
Description: partial 16S ribosomal RNA
Rfam family: Bacterial small subunit ribosomal RNA
Source: RNAcentral
UGGGGAAUUUUGGACAAUGGGCGAAAGCCUGAUCCAGCAAUGCCGCGUGUGUGAAGAAGGCCUUCGGGUUGUAAAGCACUUUUGUCCGGAAAGAAAUCCUUGGCUCUAAUACAGUCGGGGGAUGACGGUACCGGAAGAAUAAGCACCGGCUAACUACGUGCCAGCAGCCGCGGUAAUACGUAGGGUGCAAGCGUUAAUCGGAAUUACUGGGCGUAAAGCGUGCGCAGGCGGUUUGCUAAGACCGAUGUGAAAUCCCCGGGCUCAACCUGGGAACUGCAUUGGUGACUGGCAGGCUAGAGUAUGGCAGAGGGGGGUAGAAUUCCACGUGUAGCAGUGAAAUGCGUAGAGAUGUGGAGGAAUACCGAUGGCGAAGGCAGCCCCCUGGGCAAUACUGACGCUCAUGCACGAAAGCGUGGGGAGCAAACAGGAUUAGAUACCCUGGUAGUCCACGCCCUAAACGAUGUCAACUAGUUGUUGGGGAUUCAUUUCCUUAGUAACGUAGCUAACGCGUGAAGUUGACCGCCUGGGGAGUACGGUCGCAAGAUUAAAACUUAAAUGAAUUGNCGGGGUC